Molecule: ribosomal RNA, 428 nt
Filed under: uncultured fungus
Lineage: Eukaryota; Fungi
Description: eukaryotic LSU rRNA
Rfam family: Eukaryotic large subunit ribosomal RNA
Source: RNAcentral
GAUCUCAAAUCAGGUAGGACUACCCGCUGAACUUAAGCAUAUCAAUAAGCGGAGGAAAAGAAACUAACAAGGAUUCCCCUAGUAACUGCGAGUGAAGCGGGAAAAGCUCAAAUUUAAAAUCUGGCGUGCCUCUGGUCGUCCGAGUUGUAGUUUAGAGAAGUGUUUUCUGUGUUGGACCGUGUAUAAGUCUCUUGGAACAGGGCGUCAUAGAGGGUGAGAAUCCCGUCUUUGACACGGACUACCAAUGCUUUGUGAUACGCUCUCAAAGAGUCGAGUUGUUUGGGAAUGCAGCUCAAAAUGGGUGGUAAAUUCCAUCUAAAGCUAAAUAUAGGCGAGAGACCGAUAGCGAACAAGUACCGUGAGGGAAAGAUGAAAAGCACUUUGGAAAGAGAGUUAAACAGUACGUGAAAUUGCUGAAAGGGAAACGC